UUGCUGACGAGUGGCGGACGGGUGAGUAAUGUCUGGGAAACUGCCUGAUGGAGGGGGAUAACUACUGGAAACGGUAGCUAAUACCGCAUAACGUCGCAAGACCAAAGAGGGGGACCUUAGGGCCUCUUGCCAUCGGAUGUGCCCAGAUGGGAUUAGCUAGUAGGUGGGGUAACGGCUCACCUAGGCGACGAUCCCUAGCUGGUCUGAGAGGAUGACCAGCCACACUGGAACUGAGACACGGUCCAGACUCCUACGGGAGGCAGCAGUGGGGAAUAUUGCACAAUGGGCGCAAGCCUGAUGCAGCCAUGCCGCGUGUAUGAAGAAGGCCUUCGGGUUGUAAAGUACUUUCAGCGGGGAGGAAGGGAGUAAAGUUAAUACCUUUGCUCAUUGACGUUACCCGCAGAAGAAGCACCGGCUAACUCCGUGCCAGCAGCCGCGGUAAUACGGAGGGUGCAAGCGUUAAUCGGAAUUACUGGGCGUAAAGCGCACGCAGGCGGUUUGUUAAGUCAGAUGUGAAAUCCCCGGGCUCAACCUGGGAACUGCAUCUGAUACUGGCAAGCUUGAGUCUCGUAGAGGGGGGUAGAAUUCCAGGUGUAGCGGUGAAAUGCGUAGAGAUCUGGAGGAAUACCGGUGGCGAAGGCGGCCCCCUGGACGAAGACUGACGCUCAGGUGCGAAAGCGUGGGGAGCAAACAGGAUU
RNAcentral lists this ribosomal RNA (698 nucleotides) under Enterobacteriaceae bacterium HGH0224. RNAcentral describes it as "bacterial SSU rRNA". It matches the Rfam family "Bacterial small subunit ribosomal RNA", at positions 85 to 779 of the family's 1533-position model. Lineage: Bacteria; Pseudomonadati; Pseudomonadota; Gammaproteobacteria; Enterobacterales; Enterobacteriaceae. The record is from RNAcentral.